Long non-coding RNA from Fundulus heteroclitus (mummichog), 866 nucleotides. RefSeq lists it as uncharacterized. The record is from RefSeq and is a predicted model, not a curated record. The transcript is spliced from 4 exons. NCBI's taxonomy places the organism in Eukaryota, Metazoa, Chordata, Actinopteri, Cyprinodontiformes, Fundulidae.
GUGAACUUCUGCACUCUGAUCGACGGUGGAAAGGAAGAUACUUUUCUAAAAAUGGCGGACAGAAGACUUGCAAGCAGUUACCAGUUGGAAAGCAGAAUGGUUUCUUCUCAGUCAAAGACGACAGUGCAACACACAGUGGUUAGGACCAGCCAUGUGAGAGUGUCUCAUCAGCAGAGUUCUCUGGCGGUUUCGAGCAGCAGCAGCAGCACAUCACCAACGACAAUAUUCACAAACUCAGAAACAAUCAGCAGUUUCCAAGGAAAGCCUAACAUUGAGGAAGAGUUUAAAAAGAUGAAAGAGAAGUUGUCUGAAUUCUCAAGCAAGUCGGGGUUUUAAACAAUCUGCUUCCACAUACACCAAUUGAUCAAGAGUCUCCUCAACGUCUCACAGAAGAAACUCUGUUGUUGAACAACAAUCUGAAGAGGAUCCUCAGGGUUGUCCCUAAUGUUCUUAUUUAAUGAAGAAUCCUUUGUAAAAUAAUUUCCAGUGGUUCUGAAAAAAUCCCCUUAACAGAUCCGGCCUUCUUUAUUAGCUUGUUGAGCUUCUUCAACAACAGACAUCACACACUACACAACUUAGAAGAUCUGCAGCAUCUUUCUGCAAACACCGAAAGACCUAACCUUCCUCAAGAAAUACAGUCUUCUAUGUCUCCUCUUAUAGAGACUGUCCCUCAUAUGAUCUCUUUCAGACUGCUUUGUGUCAGGGAUUGUGUAAUGGUAAGAAUAUCUCAUCAGGUAUGAUAAAAUGAUGUUUGCUUCACAUGACAUGACAGUUUUAUAUAGGAAACAGAACCAUGGCCACUCCAUGGCUCUAAAUAUCUCUGAUCAUGUUAUUUGACUCAUAUAUUCCUUUUAACAUGAUGUAAC